ACGCUGGCGGCAGGCCUAACACAUGCAAGUCGAGCGGUAGAGAGAAGCUUGCUUCUCUUGAGAGCGGCGGACGGGUGAGUAAUGCCUAGGAAUCCGCCUGGUAGUGGGGGAUAACGUUCGGAAACGGACGCUAAUACCGCAUACGUCCUACGGGAGAAAGCAGGGGACCUUCGGGCCUUGCGCUAUCAGAUGAGCCUAGGUCGGAUUAGCUAGUUGGUGGGGUAAUGGCUCACCAAGGCGACGAUCCGUAACUGGUCUGAGAGGAUGAUCAGUCACACUGGAACUGAGACACGGUCCAGACUCCUACGGGAGGCAGCAGUGGGGAAUAUUGGACAAUGGGCGAAAGCCUGAUCCAGCCAUGCCGCGUGUGUGAAGAAGGUCUUCGGAUUGUAAAGCACUUUAAGUUGGGAGGAAGGGUUGUAGAUUAAUACUCUGCAAUUUUGACGUUACCGACAGAAUAAGCACCGGCUAACUCUGUGCCAGCAGCCGCGGUAAUACAGAGGGUGCAAGCGUUAAUCGGAAUUACUGGGCGUAAAGCGCGCGUAGGUGGUUAGUUAAGUUGGAUGUGAAAUCCCCGGGCUCAACCUGGGAACUGCAUUCAAAACUGACUGACUAGAGUAUGGUAGAGGGUGGUGGAAUUUCCUGUGUAGCGGUGAAAUGCGUAGAUAUAGGAAGGAACACCAGUGGCGAAGGCGACCACCUGGACUGAUACUGACACUGAGGUGCGAAAGCGUGGGGAGCAAAC
Molecule: ribosomal RNA, 745 nt
Filed under: uncultured bacterium
Lineage: Bacteria
Description: bacterial SSU rRNA
Rfam family: Bacterial small subunit ribosomal RNA
Source: RNAcentral